This 253-nucleotide ribosomal RNA is filed under the name uncultured bacterium. Its description in RNAcentral is "partial 16S ribosomal RNA". It matches the Rfam family "Bacterial small subunit ribosomal RNA", at positions 524 to 776 of the family's 1533-position model. The record is from RNAcentral.
UACGAGGGGGACUAGCGUUGUUCGGAAUCACUGGGCGUAAAGCGCACGUAGGCGGAUAUGUCAGUCAGGGGUGAAAUCCCGGGGCUCAACCUCGGAACUGCCCUUGAUACAGCAUAUCUUGAGUCCGAUAGAGGUGGGUGGAAUUCCUAGUGUAGAGGUGAAAUUCGUAGAUAUUAGGAAGAACACCGGUGGCGAAGGCGGCCCACUGGAUCGGUACUGACGCUGAGGUGCGAAAGCGUGGGGAGCAAACAGG